GAUGAACGCUGGCGGCGUGCCUAAUACAUGCAAGUCGAGCGGACGGACGAGAAUCUUGCUUCUCUGAUGUUAGCGGCGGACGGGUGAGUCACACGUGGAUAACCUCCCUAUAAUACUGGGAUAACUUCGGGAAACCGGAGCUAAUACCGGAUAAUAUUUUGAACCGCAUGGUUCAAAAGUGAAAGACGGUCUUUCUGUCACUUCUAGAUGGAUCCGCGCUGCAUUAGCUGGUUGGUAAGGUAACGGCUUACCAAGGGAACGAUGCAUAGCCGACCUGAGAGAGGGAUCGGCCACAUUGGAACGGAGACACGGUCCAGACUCCUAAGGGAGGCAGCAGUAGGGAAUCUGACGCAAUGGGCGAAAGCCUGACGGAGCAAGCCCGCGUGAGUGAUGAAGGCCUUCGGAGCGUAAAGCUCUGUUAUGAGGGAAGAACAUAUGUGGAAGUAACUGUGCACAUCUUGACGGUACCGAAUCAGAAAGCACCGGCUAACUACGUG
RNAcentral lists this ribosomal RNA (497 nucleotides) under uncultured bacterium. Its description in RNAcentral is "partial 16S ribosomal RNA". It matches the Rfam family "Bacterial small subunit ribosomal RNA", at positions 28 to 507 of the family's 1533-position model. The record is from RNAcentral.